UAUAACAUUACCAGUCUGCCGCUUGCUUUAACCGGCUUGCCGGCGAAUGAUGGAGUUUCGCGUAUACGCGUGCUCUUAAAUAAUUCACUCAACGUGUGAGCCAGCCCAGUUUGCAACAUCGGACAUUACCGUUCGUUGACGUUCUGUGGGAUUACGGCGGGUUGUGUGUCCUAGAGAUUUUAUAUUCUUGCGACCCUCCCGAUCACCGGAAACCCGAACUCUUCGUAAUGCGGUAUCGUUCCGGCAAAUUUGGACGAUUCAAAGGUUCCUCGUCGAUAUUGAGUGCGCCUGCUUACUAUCGUUUGCGAGCACACCAUAAUCUUAAUA
This 327-nucleotide unclassified non-coding RNA is filed under the name Ctenocephalides canis (dog flea). Its description in RNAcentral is "sequence contains ITS2". Lineage: Eukaryota; Metazoa; Arthropoda; Insecta; Siphonaptera; Pulicidae. The record is from RNAcentral.